This 460-nucleotide ribosomal RNA is filed under the name uncultured bacterium. RNAcentral describes it as "partial 16S ribosomal RNA". It matches the Rfam family "Bacterial small subunit ribosomal RNA", at positions 338 to 795 of the family's 1533-position model. The record is from RNAcentral.
CCUACGGGGGGCUGCAGUGAGGAAUAUUGGUCAAUGGACGAGAGUCUGAACCAGCCAAGUAGCGUGAAGGAUGACUGCCCUAUGGGUUGUAAACUUCUUUUAUAUGGGAAUAAAAUGUUCCACGUGUGGGAUUUUGUAUGUACCAUAUGAAUAAGGAUCGGCUAACUCCGUGCCAGCAGCCGCGGUAAUACGGAGGAUCCGAGCGUUAUCCGGAUUUAUUGGGUUUAAAGGGAGCGUAGGUAGAAUGUUAAGUCAGUUGUGAAAGUUUGCGGCUCAACCGUAAAAUUGCAGUUGAAACUGGCAGUCUUGAGUACAGUAGAGGUGGGCGGAAUUCGUGGUGUAGCGGUGAAAUGCUUAGAUAUCACGAAGAACUCCGAUUGCGAAGGCAGUUCACUGGACUGCAACUGACACUGAGGCUCGAAAGUGUGGGUAUCAAACAGGAUUAGAUACCCCAGUAGUC